Molecule: non-coding RNA, 400 nt
Organism: Pelobates cultripes (western spadefoot toad)
Lineage: Eukaryota; Metazoa; Chordata; Amphibia; Anura; Pelobatidae
Source: the annotation of a GenBank genome assembly
AUACAGAACAAUGUAUACGGUUUUAUUCUUCUGAAGUUUGCAAAUAUGGAAUGUUGACACUUUAUAUCCUGUUAAAUUGUACGGGUGUUCUAUAUUACAAUAAUGUGUGUACUGUUCUUCAUUAAUCUCUUUUACUUUUUUUCUUGCAGGAAUUCUAUAACUGUUGCCAACAUUGAAGACAUCAACCAAUGUUGACUUUCUCCAUUUAAAUACUCAAGCAUUCUGUUCUGAUUGUAAUGGAUUGCAACUUCCCAAAACGCUGGCUAGCACUGGGUUACAAAUGAUUAAUUAGUGUCGUUAUUUUUCUGUUAAUGCUCGAGAAAGGAAUGGUCGACCGCCGUAGUAUUGUCUAGUAUUACAGAUCCAAUGGUGCUUCAAGCAUUAAAGCCCGAUAAUUAAG